This 84-nucleotide transfer RNA is filed under the name Caldifarciminota bacterium. RNAcentral's name for it is "tRNA-Leu". It matches the Rfam family "tRNA". From Rfam's summary of the family: Transfer RNA (tRNA) molecules are approximately 80 nucleotides in length. Their secondary structure includes four short double-helical elements and three loops (D, anti-codon, and T loops). Further hydrogen bonds mediate the characteristic L-shaped molecular structure. tRNAs have two regions of fundamental functional importance: the anti-codon, which is responsible for specific mRNA codon recognition, and the 3' end, to which the tRNAs corresponding amino acid is attached (by aminoacyl-tRNA synthetases). tRNAs cope with the degeneracy of the genetic code in two manners: having more than one tRNA (with a specific anti-codon) for a particular amino acid; and 'wobble' base-pairing, i.e. permitting non-standard base-pairing at the 3rd anti-codon position. Lineage: Bacteria; Pseudomonadati; Caldifarciminota. The record is from RNAcentral.
GCCGGGAUGGUGGAAUUGGUAGACACAAGGGACUUAAAAUCCCUCGGGAGUGAUCCCGUGCCGGUUCGAGUCCGGCUCCCGGUA